Molecule: ribosomal RNA, 780 nt
Filed under: Bacillus licheniformis
Lineage: Bacteria; Bacillati; Bacillota; Bacilli; Caryophanales; Bacillaceae
Description: bacterial SSU rRNA
Rfam family: Bacterial small subunit ribosomal RNA
Source: RNAcentral
GACGGAGCAACGCCGCGUGAGUGAUGAAGGUUUUCGGAUCGUAAAACUCUGUUGUUAGGGAAGAACAAGUACCGUUCGAAUAGGGCGGUACCUUGACGGUACCUAACCAGAAAGCCACGGCUAACUACGUGCCAGCAGCCGCGGUAAUACGUAGGUGGCAAGCGUUGUCCGGAAUUAUUGGGCGUAAAGCGCGCGCAGGCGGUUUCUUAAGUCUGAUGUGAAAGCCCCCGGCUCAACCGGGGAGGGUCAUUGGAAACUGGGGAACUUGAGUGCAGAAGAGGAGAGUGGAAUUCCACGUGUAGCGGUGAAAUGCGUAGAGAUGUGGAGGAACACCAGUGGCGAAGGCGACUCUCUGGUCUGUAACUGACGCUGAGGCGCGAAAGCGUGGGGAGCGAACAGGAUUAGAUACCCUGGUAGUCCACGCCGUAAACGAUGAGUGCUAAGUGUUAGAGGGUUUCCGCCCUUUAGUGCUGCAGCAAACGCAUUAAGCACUCCGCCUGGGGAGUACGGUCGCAAGACUGAAACUCAAAGGAAUUGACGGGGGCCCGCACAAGCGGUGGAGCAUGUGGUUUAAUUCGAAGCAACGCGAAGAACCUUACCAGGUCUUGACAUCCUCUGACAACCCUAGAGAUAGGGCUUCCCCUUCGGGGGCAGAGUGACAGGUGGUGCAUGGUUGUCGUCAGCUCGUGUCGUGAGAUGUUGGGUUAAGUCCCGCAACGAGCGCAACCCUUGAUCUUAGUUGCCAGCAUUCAGUUGGGCACUCUAAGGUGACUGCCGGUG